This 523-nucleotide long non-coding RNA is filed under the name Bos taurus (domestic cattle). RNAcentral's name for it is "long non-coding RNA NONBTAT023991". The record is from RNAcentral. Lineage: Eukaryota; Metazoa; Chordata; Mammalia; Artiodactyla; Bovidae.
GGAAAAGUCAGCCUAUAGAUUUAAUUUCUUGCAUUUGAAUGUAUUCAAAUUUUAUUACCAUUGUCUAUGGAUAUUUAACACUAGCAUUUGUGCAACAGUCCUCUUAGGCAGAGGGGGAUCUUAACACACAAAUCUUACACACUAAAAAUAACUGUACCAUGUUCAACAAGACUGUUUUUUGAUUCCAUAAACCAAGCUUGACAGAGCAGCCAAUUCAAGAGAAAUGAUUCCAGGACAUACGUGAACUUACCACUUAAGGGAACAUUACAGAUUAUACUAAAAUGUUACACAGACUUAGCGAAAGUUCAUCAUUUUCUCCUAGACGCAGACAGGUUCACCAUGUAGACACCUGUACAUUACAGCACUCUGAGGUUUUUGCAAAGCGUACAUUAUAGAUACAUUUUCCAUACAGUGCAAUUUUUAUUGUCUAAGACAUGAGUAAUAGUGCACUUAAAUCCAACAGUCACAUUCAAAUAUAUCAAGAGUAAACUUCAAGUACCUGGUUAUUGAAGAAAUACAUACU